AAGACCUUGCACUUUUGGAGCGGCCGGUGUCUGAUUAGCUAGUUGGUGGGGUAAUGGCCUACCAAAGCUUCGAUCAGUAGCUGGUCUGAGAGGACGGCCAGCCACACUGGGACUGAGACACGGCCCAGACUCCUACGGGAGGCAGCAGUGGGGAAUUUUGGACAAUGGGCGCAAGCCUGAUCCAGCCAUGCCGCGUGAGUGAAGAAGGCCUUCGGGUUGUAAAGCUCUUUCAGCCGGGAAGAAAAGGUUGCGACUAAUAAUCGCAAUUCAUGACGGUACCGAAAGAAGAAGCACCGGCUAACUACGUGCCAGCAGCCGCGGUAAUACGUAGGGUGCGAGCGUUAAUCGGAAUUACUGGGCGUAAAGGGUGCGCAGGCGGUUUUGUAAGUCAGAUGUGAAAUCCCCGGGCUUAACCUGGGAACU
Molecule: ribosomal RNA, 423 nt
Filed under: uncultured bacterium
Lineage: Bacteria
Description: bacterial SSU rRNA
Rfam family: Bacterial small subunit ribosomal RNA
Source: RNAcentral